CCUACGGGAGGCAGCAGUGAGGAAUAUUGGUCAAUGGACGAGAGUCUGAACCAGCCAAGUCGCGUGAAGGAUGACUGCCCUAUGGGUUGUAAACCUCUUUUAUCGGGGAGCAAAAUGUUUCACGUGUGAGACAUUGUAUGUACCCUAAGAAUAAGCAUCGGCUAACUCCGUGCCAGCAGCCGCGGUAAUACGGAGGAUCCGAGCGUUAUCCGGAUUUAUUGGGGUUAAAGGGAGCGUAGGGGGAUGGUUCAGUCAGGUGUGAAAGUUUGCGGCUCAAACGCAAAAUUGCAGUUGAAACUGGAAGGCUUGAGUACAGUAGAGGUGGGCGGAAUUCGUGGUGUAGCGGUGAAAUGCUUAGAUAUCACGAAGAACUCCGAUUGCGAAGGCAGCUCACUGGAGUGCAACUGACACUGAGGCACGAAAGUGUGGGUAUCAAACAGGAUUAGAUACCCCGGUAGUC
This 460-nucleotide ribosomal RNA is filed under the name uncultured bacterium. Its description in RNAcentral is "partial 16S ribosomal RNA". It matches the Rfam family "Bacterial small subunit ribosomal RNA", at positions 338 to 795 of the family's 1533-position model. The record is from RNAcentral.